CUGGAGUCUGAGUAGCUGAAGUAAGUCAUGCUGGCACUGCAUGCCCAUGUGAUUGACCCCCAAUAAAAUCCCAGGACACUAAGGCUCAGGGAAAAACAUCAGCUGUGUAAACCAGCUACUCCCAAACAAAAGAUGAGGAAACCUGAAGCA
Long non-coding RNA from Equus quagga, 150 nucleotides. RefSeq lists it as uncharacterized. NCBI's taxonomy places the organism in Eukaryota, Metazoa, Chordata, Mammalia, Perissodactyla, Equidae. The record is from RefSeq and is a predicted model, not a curated record. The transcript is spliced from 3 exons.